This 719-nucleotide ribosomal RNA is filed under the name Micropholcomma sp. Queensland 'Mt Tinbeerwah'. RNAcentral describes it as "SSU rRNA". It matches the Rfam family "Eukaryotic small subunit ribosomal RNA", at positions 407 to 1130 of the family's 1831-position model. Lineage: Eukaryota; Metazoa; Arthropoda; Arachnida; Araneae; Micropholcommatidae. The record is from RNAcentral.
CUACCACAUCCAAGGAAGGCAGCAGGCGCGCAAAUUACCCACUCCCGGAACGGGGAGGUAGUGACGAAAAAUAACAAUACGGGACUCUUUUGAGACCCCGUAAUUGGAAUGAGUACACUCCAAACCCUUUAACGAAGACCAUCAGAGGGCAAGUCUGGUGCCAGCCGCCGCGGUAAUUCCAGCUCUGAUAGCGUAUAUUAAAGUUGUUGCGGUUAAAAAGCUCGUAGUUGGAUCUCAGUUNCCGACGGGCGGUCCGCCUACCGGCGGUCACUGCCCGGUCGGAACAACACGGCCGGUUUCCCUUGAUGAUCUUCACCGGUUGUCUCGGGUGACCGGCGAGUUUACUUUGAAAAAAUUAGAGUGCUCAACGCAGGCGCGACGCCUGGAUAAUGGUGCAUGGAAUAAUGGAAUAGGACCUCGGUUCUAUUUUGUUGGUUUUCGGAACACGAGGUAAUGAUUAAGAGGGACAGACGGGGGCAUUCGUAUUGCGACGCUAGAGGUGAAAUUCUUGGACCGUCGCAAGACGAACUACUGCGAAAGCAUUUGCCAAGAAUGUUUCCAUUAAUCAAGAACGAAAGUUAGAGGUUCGAAGGCGAUCAGAUACCGCCCUAGUUCUAACCAUAAACGAUGCCAGCCAGCGAUCCGGCUGCGUUCCUCAAAUGACGCGCCGGGCAGCUUCCGGGAAACCAAAGCCUUUGGGUUCCGGGGGAAGUAUGGUU